Molecule: ribosomal RNA, 305 nt
Filed under: uncultured bacterium
Lineage: Bacteria
Description: bacterial SSU rRNA
Rfam family: Bacterial small subunit ribosomal RNA
Source: RNAcentral
UCCUACGGGGCGCAGCAGUGGGGAAUAUUGCACAAUGGGGGGAACCCUGAUGCAGCAAUGCCGCGUGGGUGAAGAAGCACUCCGGUGCGUAAAGCCCUGUCAGCAGGGAAGAAAAUGACAGUACCUGGACAAGAAGCCCCGGCUAACUACGUGCCAGCAGCCGCGGUAAUACGUAGGGGGCAAGCGUUAUCCGGAUUUACUGGGUGUAAAGGGAGCGUAGGCGGCCUUGCAAGUCAGAAGUGAAAUCCAUGGGCUUAACCCGUGAACUGCUUUUGAAACUGUAGGGCUUGAGUGAAGUAGAGGCA